UUUUCGAGCCUUUCGCCUUGUGGCGUCUGACGCGGUCAUCGAUUGCCGAUGCAAGCCUUGAGAGAGCAUUGGCAUGAUUAUUCUCGGAUCGGGGGAUCUGCUGGAUUUGGUAUACGUUAAACUGAUCGAGCAAUCGGCGGGUCUGCACUAGAUAGGUCGCCAUGGAUUCAUCUUUUGUCUUGAAUUCAGUGAUCACCUGGUUGACGACUAGUUGGAAGUCGCUACAUAUCAUC
This 233-nucleotide long non-coding RNA is filed under the name Prunus persica (peach). Its description in RNAcentral is "long non-coding RNA (PPER_LNC000579)". The record is from RNAcentral. Lineage: Eukaryota; Viridiplantae; Streptophyta; Magnoliopsida; Rosales; Rosaceae.